Long non-coding RNA from Siniperca chuatsi (mandarin fish), 1302 nucleotides. RefSeq lists it as uncharacterized. The transcript has 2 exons. Lineage: Eukaryota; Metazoa; Chordata; Actinopteri; Centrarchiformes; Sinipercidae. The record is from RefSeq and is a predicted model, not a curated record.
UCUUACUUUUACUUAAGAUUUUGAAUGCAGGACUUUUACUUGUAACAGAGUAUUUUAACACUGCAGUACUGCUACUUUCACUGAAGUAAAAUAUCCGAAUACUUCUUCCACCACUGGAGACAACAAGUUUAUAACAGAAGUGUAAAAGACUUGGGGGGGGGGGUUAACACCCCUUGUAAAUCUAGUCUUUGCUGACCUCCAGUGGUUUAACUUCUCACCUUGCUGCAGGCCCCCAGGCCCCGUGACAUCACUGUGGGGUGUGGUUACAGGUGCAACCGAGCACACUUCUGAAAACACCUGUCGGUGGUGCUGCGUGCGCUCAGAGGGGAAACGGGCUGGAAGCACUGCUGUCCUUUAAAUCUCUGCCAGCUGGUGAUCAAACUGCGGCAGGUGGAGGAGACGCUGUGCUAAACUUUGACUUUUCUAUGUGUACAUGUGGUAUUUUGUCUACAUGCCCCCACAGUGCUGACGUCAUGCGGCAACUUUGGAGUGCCACCUGAGAAAAUGCCCUGAUGGCUGUCCGCUUGGACUUGCAGACUACAGAUUUAUAACAGAAAGUCUGUGUUACAAACUGGAGUGCUGCUGGGAGGCGUCGACAUCACCGCAGGCAACUGAGCAAGAGCCAAUGAAAAGCAGCCUCCAGCUACACAAAGACACAUUCACACACAGCUAAACAAAAACAGAGUUUUUAUCUGUUUUUCCACAACAAAGACAGGGACUUUAAUACACUUGUUUUCUAAAAUACGGUCCAAACUAAACCUGGAGAAGCAGCUUUCAGUUUUUCUGCUCCACAUAUCUGAAACCAACUGUUCUUUUAAAUCAGAGCUUCAGACUUCUCUUACUAUUUAUUCUUAUCUCACACUGCACUGUAAUGUUUAUUCUGUUUGAUUUGUUUUAUUGUAUUUUUGUAUUUUUAUGUUGUCUUCUCAUAUUUCCUUGUUUCUUUUAUAUAUUUUCCUUUCUGUUGAAUGAAACGCACUUUGAAUUGUCUUGUUGUUGAAAGGCGUCUGUUCUAACUGAUGUGUCCUAGCUUAUUUCUCAUUGGGAGUAAUGAAGUACUCUAACUUUACUUCCCUCCAAUUCAUUCCCGUUCACAGUCCUGUAAGCUGAGGACUGAUAGGACUGUGGUUGUUCUGCACUUUAUGCAACUAAAAUAACGUCAUUUCUCAGUGAUUGUAACUGUGGAAGAUAGACUGAUAUGUAGAACUGGGACAGUUAGAAACAUGAGGCUUAAAAUACAUCUGUGCAUGUUUGUCUCUCUCAUUGGGAUUUUCUGUGGCUCAAUAAAGAAUCACAACAUGA